AUGAAAGAUGAUGGUGCUAAGGAUGAUCAAGAGGCAGUGGAGCAAGGUGUCAUUGUUGAACAAGAGGUCGCACCCAUGGAUGAUGCCAUUGCUGUUGAUGAUGAUGAUCAGGAGAAGAAGCCACUGGAGCAAUCUAGUACCACUUAUGGUGACUUGGGAACAACCAUGGAGAAUGCUGCUGCUCUUGUGCAAGUUCAAGAGCAAGUGGUGGAGCAGCUAGAUGCCACCCAGCCAAGGGAUGAAGAUAUUGCUGCUGAGGGACAAGAGACACUGGGAGAUCAUCAGCCGGGAUCAACUGAGAAUGCUGAUGAUGCUGUGCAAGUUCAAGAGGAAGGUGAAACCGCAGAUGCCACUGCUGUAGAUGACCAUGACAAGGCAGUGGAGCAAUGCACCACUUACGAUGACUUGGGAACAACCAUGGAGAAUGAUGUUGCUAAGGAUGAUCAGGAGGUGCUGGAGCAAGGUGUCAUUGACCAAGGGGAUGAUGCAAGUACCAUAGAUGAUGAUAAUGCUGUCAAAGAUCUUGAGGUGCUGCUGCUAGGUGCCGUGGAAGGAACGCGCGCUACCACAGAUGGCAUUGCUGCUGUCGAGGAUCAAGGGAAGAAUGUGGAGCAAUGUGCCGCUUAUUAUGACCUGGGAACAACCAUGAAGAAUGAUGAUGCUUCUGUUGAAGAACAAGAGGUGGUGGAGGAAGGCGUUGUCGAUUUAACCAUGGAUGAUGAUGAUUCUGUCAAAGAUCACAAGCAGCAAGGUAUCAUUGACGGAACCGAUGACAUUGCUGUUGAGAAACAAGAGAAAGUGCUGGAGCAAUGUUCAAGAGCAACUAAGGGUGAGUACACUGUCAAAGAAAAGGAGAUGGUGGUGGAGCAAGGUGUCGUCGACCCAAAGUACAUGGAUCUUGCCACGGAAGAUCAGGUUAAGUUGUCGAUCAUAGACGACCAGGGUACAGUGCCCAUGGAUAAUAUUGUGGUGAAAGACCAGGAUAAGGCAGUGGUGCAAUAUGCCAGUGAUGCAAUAGUAACAAUCAAGGAUGAGAGUCCUGUGGAGGAACAUGAUACAGUGGGGAAUCAAGGUGUCAUCGACAAAAAUGGCAGAACCAAGGAUGAUAUUGAUGUAGAGGGACAUGGCUAUGUGAAUGAACAGGUCAUCGUCGAUAACUGGGGUACAUCCAGUGAUGCUACUGCUUUGGAAGGUCAGAAGAACGAGGCUGAGCCACGCAUGGGUGAUGAACAGAUAGCAGGCAAGGACAUGGAUGGUGUUCAUGCUGAGGGGAACAUGUUGGAGCAAAGGACCAGCGAUAAACAGGGAGCAACACAGUCUGAUUUCACUGUUGAUAAGCACAAGGAUAUAGCGGAGCGUGUCCGCCAUGAGUGGGGUGCACCUGAGGAUGAUCUUGCUAUGGACAGGACAGCUUACCAAGGUACCGGAGAUUGGGGUAUAGUUAACAAGGAGAAGGUGCUGCCUGAGGAUGAUCGUGCUAUGGACAUGGCAGCUUAUCAAGGUACCGGAGAUUGGGGUAUAGUUAGCAAGGAGAAGUAUACGUUGCCUGCUAGAAGAUAUCCACAGAAGCCCAGAAAACUUAACUGCCCCUCUUACAUGUCAAAAGGGACCUGCACAUACGGGCCCUCAUGCCACUUCAAUCACCCACCGCAGCUUAAAUCUAGAUCAGAUGAAUCAUGGCGUCCCUCUGAACGAAGAAACCAUGGCGCUGCAGAAAUUCUGGAACUGAACCGCCUUGGCCUUCCCAUUCGUGAAGGAGCAAGAAACUGUGACUACUAUAUGCGAACUGGUGCUUGCAGAUAUGGCAAAAACUGCCAUUUUAACCAUCCAGACCAUGUCAUUGAUGCUCAGUUUAGUCCACCAACAGGGUGGGAGGAUAAUGCUUUGCAAAUGGAGAAAUCUUCUGAUCAUACAUUAGAUGAGACAUCACGCAUGAAGAAAUCUUCCGAUGAUGCGACCUUCGAUGACAGAUCACACAUGAAGAAAUCUUCCGAUGAUGCGACCUUAGAUGACAGAUCACACUUGAAGAAACCUUCCGAUGGUGCGAUCGUAGAUGACACGUCAUACUCAAAGAAGUCUUCUGACCAUGACAACUCAUCUAGCUCUGGUGUCCUGCCACCAAGCAUAUUUAGAAUGCUUCUACCUCCCCAAAAAGUACUGCCUGGUACGGAAGGAAAGGCGAAAAAGAAGUCAGACUGGUCAUCAGACGAUUCCGAUGGUUGCUGUUCAGCAGAUAGUUCAGAUGGACCUUUGUGCAAGCAGGGGGAGCACGUGGAUUACCCUGAGAGGCCUGGCAGACCAGAAUAUCACCACCCAAAACAGUCAAAAUACAAAGAAGAGGUGAACUAUCCCGAGAGGCCUGGCAAACCAGAUUGCCCCUUCUACAUGAGAUUUGGUGAUUGUAAAUUUGCAUCAGCGUGCAACUAUCACCACCCAAAAGACAAAUACCCAGCUGGGAGACCUGAUGAACCAGAAUGCCCAUUCCUUAUGAAGCGUGGGUACUGUAAACUUAGGGCACAAUGUAAGUUUUAUCACCCAGAGGCUUCGAGCCCAACAGAUGCAAAAAGAUCUGUUACCACUGAUGAACAUCAUCCAUCUACAAGAAUCACAUUACAAGACUAUAUGCUUCCCCAGCAACCGCAGUAUCCUGAGAGGCCUGGUCAGCCAGAGUGCCGGUACUACUUGCAGUUUGGGAAAUGCAAAUAUCUGUCUGCAUGUAUAUUUCACCAUCCAAAAGAUAGACUUGCAGCUCACUCUGAUCAGAUUGGACCUGGCAUGCCAGAUUGUCCUUUCUAUAUGAAAGCUGGGAAAUGUCAAUUUGGAUCAGCAUGUGAAUUUCGUCAUCCCAAAGAUAUACAUUCAAGUUCAACUGCAGAGGAAGCAUUUGAUAAGAGAAGUGGGUCGGGGGUGUAUGAUAGUUUGACAAGGUCAGAUAAUGGCGUGGAGCAACAAGAAGAGAGCAUCAUGUAUCCUGAAAGGCCAGGUGAACCCGAGUGUAACCACUACAUGAGGCAGGGGUACUGUAAGUUCCAGAUGAACUGCAAGUACCAUCAUCCAGGAGACCGGCUGUCUAAGAAACAGUAUUGA
RNAcentral lists this ribosomal RNA (3087 nucleotides) under Triticum aestivum (bread wheat). RNAcentral's name for it is "partial small subunit ribosomal RNA". The record is from RNAcentral. Lineage: Eukaryota; Viridiplantae; Streptophyta; Magnoliopsida; Poales; Poaceae.